CUUUCGGGGUACACGAGCGGCGAACGGGUGAGUAACACGUGGGUGAUCUGCCCUGCACUUCGGGAUAAGCCUGGGAAACUGGGUCUAAUACCGGAUAUGACCUCAGGUUGCAUGACUUGGGGUGGAAAGAUUUAUCGGUGCAGGAUGGGCCCGCGGCCUAUCAGCUUGUUGGUGGGGUAAUGGCCUACCAAGGCGACGACGGGUAGCCGACCUGAGAGGGUGACCGGCCACACUGGGACUGAGACACGGCCCAGACUCCUACGGGAGGCAGCAGUGGGGAAUAUUGCACAAUGGGCGAAAGCCUGAUGCAGCGACGCCGCGUGAGGGAUGACGGCCUUCGGGUUGUAAACCUCUUUCAGCAGGGACGAAGCGCAAGUGACGGUACCUGCAGAAGAAGCACCGGCUAACUACGUGCCAGCAGCCGCGGUAAUACGUAGGGUGCAAGCGUUGUCCGGAAUUACUGGGCGUAAAGAGUUCGUAGGCGGUUUGUCGCGUCGUUUGUGAAAACCAGCAGCUCAACUGCUGGCUUGCAGGCGAUACGGGCAGACUUGAGUACUGCAGGGGAGACUGGAAUUCCUGGUGUAGCGGUGAAAUG
This 595-nucleotide ribosomal RNA is filed under the name Rhodococcus erythropolis. RNAcentral's name for it is "bacterial SSU rRNA". It matches the Rfam family "Bacterial small subunit ribosomal RNA", at positions 78 to 688 of the family's 1533-position model. The record is from RNAcentral. Lineage: Bacteria; Bacillati; Actinomycetota; Actinomycetes; Mycobacteriales; Nocardiaceae.